RNAcentral lists this ribosomal RNA (492 nucleotides) under uncultured bacterium. Its description in RNAcentral is "bacterial SSU rRNA". It matches the Rfam family "Bacterial small subunit ribosomal RNA", at positions 56 to 525 of the family's 1533-position model. The record is from RNAcentral.
UGCCAAGUUGAGCGGUAAGGCCCCUUCGGGGGUACACGAGCAGCGAACGGGUGAGUAACGCGUGGGUAAUCUACCUAUGAGGUGGGGGAUAGCCCCGGGAAACCGGGGGUAAUACCGCAUAUGUUCCGUAUGACAUAAGUCACUCGGUGGAAAGACGGGGAUCUUCGGACCUGUCGCCUCUAGAUGAGCCCGCGUCCGAUUAGCUAGUUGGUGAGGUAAUGGCUCACCAAGGCAUCGAUCGGUAGCCGGCCUGAGAGGGUGAACGGCCACAUUGGGACUGAGACACGGCCCAGACUCCUACGGGAGGCAGCAGUGGGGAAUUUUGGGCAAUGGGGGAAACCCUGACCCAGCGACGCCGCGUGGAGGAUGAAGGCCUUCGGGUUGUAAACUCCUGUCAGGUGGGAAGAAGAGCCACGUGGUUAAUAGCCACGAGGAAUUGACGGUACCACCAAAGGAAGCCCCGGCUAACUCCGUGCCAGCAGCCGCGUAAUA